Molecule: ribosomal RNA, 497 nt
Filed under: uncultured bacterium
Lineage: Bacteria
Description: partial 16S ribosomal RNA
Rfam family: Bacterial small subunit ribosomal RNA
Source: RNAcentral
GAUGAACGCUGGCGGCGUGCCUAAUACAUGCAAGUCGAGCGAACGGACGAGAAGGUUGCUUCUCUGAUGUUAGCGGCGGACGGGGGAGUAACACGUGGGUAACCUACCUAUAAGACUGGGAUAACUUCGGGAAACCGGAGCUAAUACCGGAUAAUAUUUUGAACCGCAUGGUUCAAAAGUGAAAGACGUUCUUGCUGUCACUUAUAGAUGGAUCCGCUCUGCAUUAGCUAGUUGGUAAGGUAACGGCUUACCAAGGCAACGAUGCAUAGCCGACCUGAGAGGGUGAUCGGCCACACUGGAACUGAGACACGGUCCAGACUCCUACGGGAGGCAGCAGUAGGGAAUCUUCCGCAAUGGGCGAAAGCCUGACGGAGCAACGCCGCGUGAGUGAUGAAGGUCUUCGGAUCGUAAAACUCUGUUAUUAGGGAAGAACAUAUGUGUAAGUAACUGUGCACAUCUUGACGGUACCUAAACAGAAAGCCACGGCUAACUCCGUG